Molecule: ribosomal RNA, 481 nt
Filed under: uncultured bacterium
Lineage: Bacteria
Description: partial 16S ribosomal RNA
Rfam family: Bacterial small subunit ribosomal RNA
Source: RNAcentral
GAUGAACGCUGGCGGCGUGCUUAACACAUGCAAGUCGAACGAAGCACUUUAUUUGAUUUCCUUCGGGACUGAUUAUUUUGUGACUGAGUGGCGGACGGGUGAGUAACGCGUGGGUAACCUGCCUUGUACAGGGGGAUAACAGUUGGAAACGGCUGCUAAUACCGCAUAAGCGCACAGCAUCGCAUGAUGCAGUGUGAAAAACUCCGGUGGUAUAAGAUGGACCCGCGUUGGAUUAGCUAGUUGGUGGGGUAACGGCCCACCAAGGCGACGAUCCAUAGCCGACCUGAGAGGGUGACCGGCCACAUUGGGACUGAGACACGGCCCAAACUCCUACGGGAGGCAGCAGUGGGGAAUAUUGCACAAUGGGCGAAAGCCUGAUGCAGCGACGCCGCGUGAGCGAAGAAGUAUUUCGGUAUGUAAAGCUCUAUCAGCAGGGAAGAUAAUGACGGUACCUGACUAAGAAGCACCGGCUAAAUACGUG